UCUUUAUUUUUACUACAUUUCUACAUUGUAGAGUGAUAGUGAAGACAACUAUGAAAUAAGUGGGAAAUCGUGUUGGUUUUGAAUGUAUUUCCAUUCCUGCGAGCAGGGCACGCACAUUCAUAUGCCCUUUUCUUAGGACCCCCAAAAUCUCACUUCCUUCUACAUUUUAUUACGAUUUCCUCGCGCGAAUAACAACGAAGCAACAGCUGGCGACUUUCUAACCUCAAGGUGACUGAACUGUUGCUUUUUCGGAAUUGUUGUACACUGUGAUCGAGACGAAUGACCUGUUUAAUUACGAUAACAAUGAGUGUUUGUCCAGGUUUUAGACAUUUUGAUGCUCAUCAACCUCUGAAUGACAAGUUCGUAAAUUAAGUCUGUCACACUUAAUUUGGCCUCUCGCGAGCUCGACUAAUUUUACUCCUGUUAGUGCUAGAUAACUAACGCGCGCUAGCUAGCUAGCUAAGCUAUUUAUUUGCUGGCUAAAGGAAUAAGCUAAUGUUGGAGGUCUUAUAAGGUUUAUCAUGUGAAAAGGAGAUUGAGAAGACUUCAUUAAGUUUGUAGACGUCAAUGGACGAAAGACGGACCUUGCUGUCAAGGCCUAUGAGGCUACUGAUGACUGUGGCUGGCUGCUGACGGGCUGGUGCUGGGGCUGGCUGAGGGUCGAUCUCAUCCUCUUCUUACAACUCACCGACUAAAUUGACAGAUACAUGUUCCUCAUAUUCUGAAAAGUCUUAAUCUUCCAAAGGGGAAGACGCUCCUUCCACACUAGCUUCUCGCUGCAAUUUUUUUUUCUAAGGCCCUCUGAGCAGAGAUUAUUUUUGCUAUACUGAUUGUGGUAAGGAGCCACACAUACAAAGCUAUUUAUUUGUUGUGUCCCUCCCCCAAUCUACACCCCCAAUCUACACCUGGCUGGGGUAGAGUGUGGGGAAAUACAGAUCUUUUUUUUCACACACUACAAAGGGUUAUGGAGUGUGAGACAGGUUAUUGGUGCUCUUUUCUGUCUCCCUAUGUUGAAACAGCAGGCCCAGGGAGGAGGAAGACAGAGUGAAGGCACACAGCAAACCUUUUUGUUUAAUUUUUACUUGUUUUCACCUACACACUUUUCCACACUUUUAUUACCCAGUGGACCCAAACACCACAUAUGUAAUAUAAAUGUGUAGGGGGGUGCACUAAAUGUAUAAUGGCGCCAGAGGGGAUGGCUGCUGUUUUAUGGGCUCUUAACCAACCAUGCUAUUUUGUAUUUUUUUUCUCACAAUGUUUGUAACUUAUUUUGUAUAUAAUGUUGCUGCUUCCGUCUCUUAGACCGAAAACAGCUUCUGAACAUCAAAACAGCGAUUACUCACUUUGAAUUUUUCUUUAAUGAGUCGGACGAGAGGGAUUUACUCCAGACACCCGAGCAGGCCCUCAUCACCAUCAUUCGCAGGAGAAAGAGACAGAGGUUUCGCGGAAGGAGAUCGGGGUGCCUUGUGAGGAUCUGGCGACAAGUGGCUAAUCUGCCAUCCCCUUUGCCAUCGAGUCCUGGCUGAAUGACGACAUGAAUAACAUACAGCUGGCUGGAUAGAACAUUAGCCUCUGGUAAGACAAAGGGUACAUUUGUAAACAACAACUGGUGCACAGUAUCUAAGGAAUUCUCAAGGUUUUGCUCACCUGAGGUAGUGUGGUAUAGAGCCUAUCAUGAGAUACUCUAUCUACCUAGAGUUUUCAUCUAUAUUCUUCAUAGCUGUCUUUACCGCCACAAUCCAAUGCUGGCACUAAGACUGCACUCAAUGAGCUGUAUACGGUCAUAAGAAAACAGGAAAACGUUCAUCCAGAGGCGGCACUUCUAGUGGCCGGGAACUUUAAUGAGGGAAAUUUAAAUCCGUUUUACCUCAUUUCUACCAGCAUGUUAAAUGUGCAACCAGAGGG
Non-coding RNA from Oncorhynchus mykiss (rainbow trout), 1905 nucleotides. The record is from RefSeq and is a predicted model, not a curated record. NCBI's taxonomy places the organism in Eukaryota, Metazoa, Chordata, Actinopteri, Salmoniformes, Salmonidae.